UACGUAGGGUGCGAGCGUUGUCCGGAAUUAUUGGGCGUAAAGAGCUUGUAGGCGGUCUGUCGCGUCUGCUGUGAAAAUCCGGGGCUCAACCCCGGACUUGCAGUGGGUACGGGCAGACUAGAGUGUGGUAGGGGAGACUGGAAUUCCUGGUGUAGCGGUGAAAUGCGCAGAUAUCAGGAGGAACACCGGUGGCGAAGGCGGCCAUCUGGACCGCAACUGACGCUGAGGCGCGAAAGCGUGGGGAGCAAACAGG
This 253-nucleotide ribosomal RNA is filed under the name uncultured bacterium. RNAcentral describes it as "partial 16S ribosomal RNA". It matches the Rfam family "Bacterial small subunit ribosomal RNA", at positions 524 to 776 of the family's 1533-position model. The record is from RNAcentral.